Molecule: ribosomal RNA, 253 nt
Filed under: uncultured bacterium
Lineage: Bacteria
Description: partial 16S ribosomal RNA
Rfam family: Bacterial small subunit ribosomal RNA
Source: RNAcentral
UACGUAGGGGGCUAGCGUUGUCCGGAAUCAUUGGGCGUAAAGCGCGCGUAGGCGGCCCGGUAAGUCCGCUGUGAAAGUCAAAGGCUCAACCUUUGAAUGUCAGCGGAUACUGCCGGGCUAGAGUCCGGAAGAGGCGAGUGGAACUCCUGGUGUAGCGGUGGAAUGCGCAGAUAUCAGGAGGAACACCGGUGGCGAAGGCGGGUCUCUGGGCAGUAACUGACGCUGAGGAGCGAAAGCGUGGGGAGCGAACAGG